This is a non-coding RNA of Podarcis lilfordi (Lilford's wall lizard), 75 nucleotides long. The record is from the annotation of a GenBank genome assembly. Lineage: Eukaryota; Metazoa; Chordata; Lepidosauria; Squamata; Lacertidae.
UUCCAGAUAGCUUAGUUGGUAGAGCAUGAGACUCUUAAUCUCAGGGUUGUGGGUUUGAGCCUUACCUUGGGCAAA